CGAACGGUAGCAGGAGGAAGCUUGCUUUCUUGCUGACGAGUGGCGGACGGGUGAGUAAUGCUUGGGAAUCUGGCUUAUGGAGGGGGAUAACGACGGGAAACUGUCGCUAAUACCGCGUAUUAUCGGAAGAUGAAAGUGCGGGACUGUAAGGCCGCAUGCCAUAGGAUGAGCCCAAGUGGGAUUAGGUAGUUGGUGGGGUAAAGGCCUACCAAGCCUGCGAUCUCUAGCUGGUCUGAGAGGAUGACCAGCCACACUGGAACUGAGACACGGUCCAGACUCCUACGGGAGGCAGCAGUGGGGAAUAUUGCGCAAUGGGGGCAACCUGACGCAGCAUGCCGCGCGAAUGAAGAAGGCCUUCGGGUUGUAAAGUUCUUUCGGUAUUGAGGAAGGUUGAUGUGUUAAUAGUACAUCAAAUUGACGUUAAAUACAGAAGAAGCACCGGCUAACUCCGUGCCAGCAGCCGCGGUAAUACGGAGGGUGCGAGCGUUAAUCGGAAUAACUGGGCGUAAAGGGCACGCAGGCGGUUAUUUAAGUGAGGUGUGAAAGCCCUGGGCUUAACCUGGGAAUUGCAUUUCAGACUGGGUAACUAGAGUACUUUAGGGAGGGGUAGAAUUCCACGUGUAGCGGUGAAAUGCGUAGAGAUGUGGAGGAAUACCGAAGGCGAAGGCAGCCCCUUGGGAAUGUACUGACGCUCAUGUGCGAAAGCGUGGGGAGCAAACAGGAUUAGAUACCCUGGUAGUCCACGCUGUAAACGCUGUCGAUUUGGGGGUUGGGGUUUAACUCUGGCGCCCGUAGCUAA
This 799-nucleotide ribosomal RNA is filed under the name uncultured Haemophilus sp. RNAcentral's name for it is "bacterial SSU rRNA". It matches the Rfam family "Bacterial small subunit ribosomal RNA", at positions 63 to 855 of the family's 1533-position model. Lineage: Bacteria; Pseudomonadati; Pseudomonadota; Gammaproteobacteria; Pasteurellales; Pasteurellaceae. The record is from RNAcentral.